GUGAGGAAUAUUGGUCAAUGGGCGCAAGCCUGAACCAGCCAUGCCGCGUGCAGGAAGACGGUCCUAUGGAUUGUAAACUGCUUUUAUUUGGGAAUAAACUCCGGUACGUGUACCGACCUGAAGGUACCAAAUGAAUAAGCACCGGCUAACUCCGUGCCAGCAGCCGCGGUAAUACGGAGGGUGCAAGCGUUAUCCGGAAUCAUUGGGUUUAAAGGGUCCGCAGGCGGUCUUAUAAGUCAGUGGUGAAAGCCUACAGCUCAACUGUAGAACUGCCAUUGAUACUGUAGGACUUGAAUUCGAUCGAAGUGGGCGGAAUGUGACAUGUAGCGGUGAAAUGCUUAGAUAUGUCACAGAACACCGAUAGCGAAGGCAGCUCACUAGGUCUGGAUUGACGCUCAGGGACGAAAGCGUGGGGAGCAAACAGGAUUAGAAACCCGAGUAGUCC
This 445-nucleotide ribosomal RNA is filed under the name uncultured bacterium. RNAcentral's name for it is "partial 16S ribosomal RNA". It matches the Rfam family "Bacterial small subunit ribosomal RNA", at positions 354 to 796 of the family's 1533-position model. The record is from RNAcentral.